UACGAAGGGGGCUAGCGUUGCUCGGAAUGACUGGGCGUAAAGGGCGCGUAGGCGGAUGGUACAGUCAGAUGUGAAAUUCCCGGGCUCAACCUGGGGGCUGCAUUUGAUACGUAUGAUCUUGAGUGGGGAAGAGGGUCGUGGAAUUCCCAGUGUAGAGGUGAAAUUCGUAGAUAUUGGGAAGAACACCGGUGGCGAAGGCGGCGACCUGGUCCUUAUACUGACGCUGAGGCGCGAAAGCGUGGGUAGCAAACAGG
This 254-nucleotide ribosomal RNA is filed under the name uncultured bacterium. RNAcentral's name for it is "partial 16S ribosomal RNA". It matches the Rfam family "Bacterial small subunit ribosomal RNA", at positions 524 to 776 of the family's 1533-position model. The record is from RNAcentral.